Marmota flaviventris (yellow-bellied marmot) is the source of this 685-nucleotide long non-coding RNA. RefSeq lists it as uncharacterized. Lineage: Eukaryota; Metazoa; Chordata; Mammalia; Rodentia; Sciuridae. The record is from RefSeq and is a predicted model, not a curated record.
UCUACUCCAUCUUGCCCAGCGGCCCUGGGAGCUCGCCGCAGCCAGACUCUGAUGUUCAUCUCUGGGCUUUCAUGGUAACUUGUGCUCACUGGGUGACAAUGAUAUUUGUUUAUAGAUGACCAGGUUCAUCUCAAGCAUUCUUCCUGUGUGGACGAUUAAAGGAGUAGAGGCCAAAUUUAGCUGACAUUCUGAGAUUUUAGCCCUUGAAUGUCAUCUACCUUUCGAUUCACCAAGAGACUCUAGCCCAGAGGUAUACAGCACAUUUCCCACAAUCGGUUUUAUUUUCCUAAAAUGGGUCAUUCUUCAGUCAGAAGCUUCAUCUCCAUUGAAGCUCUACUCAGCCAGACACAAUGGUGCAUCUCUGUAAUCCCACCACUUGGGAGACUGAGGCAGGAGGAUCACUUGAGCUCAGUAGUUGCAUACCAGCCUGGAUCCCAAAGCAAGACCAAGACAAAAACAAAAUAACCAAGAAAACUAAACAACAACAACAAAAAACCUACAACAAGUUACAUGAAGAUUGAUAUUUGUCUUCCAGAACCCAUUUCCUCCUUAUUCUAUAGUAGAACCUGAAUUCAAAAAUCAAGUAUGUGACCACCUGUAAUUAAGUUUACAUUUCCAGGGGCUGGGGUUGUGGCUCAGUGGAAGAGUCCUCGCCUAGUAUGCAUGAAGCACUGGAUUCCAUCCU